CAGUCGACUUGACCUGAAUUCCGCGCUGCGUCUAUUCAAAAACUGACACCUUCUUAUCAACCCUUAACCAUCGCCAAGUCACAUCCUUUAAGCAAAUGACGCACUCCUUAACCUUUCGUGCCAUUUUCACAGGACACAAGCACGCAAACGCACAAUUCGUGCUUCCCUUCGAACGUUCCUCAUUUUUACCCCGUUCUAGUUAUUAGCCUAGGUCACGAAUUUACUAUUCGAUACUUCGUUCAUGUAAAAAUAACACCGUCGCCGCCAACAUUCUAAACAAUUAUUACUACCUAAGGAGUAGAAAUAAUAACUUGCUUUAUACUAUAAGAACACGAACUUAACAAAAAAUUAAAAUUUUCACACAAUAAAAAAUAUCAAGUUGAAGUAAAAUGAACAUAAAAUGUUCGCUUCUUAAUUUUUUAGAUUGUUUAUCAUCAUCAUUGGAAGUUUCUUGAAAUAAUGGUUGAACAAAUUGUAGAAAAACACUUUUAGUAUUGAUAUGAAUUCGUAGAAUUGUAAGGGAUGCUUGGGAGGUCCGAAUGGUUAGUGUGUGUGAGGGCUUUUAGGGCGAGUGUGAAAGAUGGGAAACAUGUGUUAAAGAUGAAUGCCGAAUGUCUGGAUUUUUAGAAAAUAAGUUAGUCUGUAACUGGCUUUUGUAGAGUAAAGUAAAAUUAAAAGGUCCUGUUGAGAA
RNA transcript from Tribolium castaneum (red flour beetle), 691 nucleotides. RefSeq lists it as uncharacterized. The transcript is spliced from 2 exons. The record is from RefSeq and is a predicted model, not a curated record. Lineage: Eukaryota; Metazoa; Arthropoda; Insecta; Coleoptera; Tenebrionidae.